GCCGCUAUAGCUCAGUGUUAGAGCACUGGUCUCGUAAACCAGGGGUCGUGAGUUCAAACCUCACUGGUGGCA
This 72-nucleotide transfer RNA is filed under the name Dermacentor silvarum. RNAcentral's name for it is "transfer RNA threonine (anticodon CGU)". It matches the Rfam family "tRNA". From Rfam's summary of the family: Transfer RNA (tRNA) molecules are approximately 80 nucleotides in length. Their secondary structure includes four short double-helical elements and three loops (D, anti-codon, and T loops). Further hydrogen bonds mediate the characteristic L-shaped molecular structure. tRNAs have two regions of fundamental functional importance: the anti-codon, which is responsible for specific mRNA codon recognition, and the 3' end, to which the tRNAs corresponding amino acid is attached (by aminoacyl-tRNA synthetases). tRNAs cope with the degeneracy of the genetic code in two manners: having more than one tRNA (with a specific anti-codon) for a particular amino acid; and 'wobble' base-pairing, i.e. permitting non-standard base-pairing at the 3rd anti-codon position. Lineage: Eukaryota; Metazoa; Arthropoda; Arachnida; Ixodida; Ixodidae. The record is from RNAcentral.